Molecule: unclassified non-coding RNA, 337 nt
Filed under: soil metagenome
Description: partial contains 5.8S ribosomal RNA, internal transcribed spacer 2, and large subunit ribosomal RNA
Rfam family: 5.8S ribosomal RNA (bases 1-120)
Source: RNAcentral
GAUGAAGAACGUAGCGAAAUGCGAUAAGUAGUGUGAAUUGCAGAAUUCAGUGAAUCAUCGAAUCUUUGAACGCACAUUGCGCCCCUUGGUAUUCCAUGGGGCAUGCCUGUUCGAGCGUCAUUUGUACCUUCAAGCUCUGCUUGGUGUUGGGUGUUUGUCUCGCCUCUGCGCGUAGACUCGCCUCAAAACAAUUGGCAGCCGGCGUAUUGAUUUCGGAGCGCAGUACAUCUCGCGCUUUGCACUCAUAACGACGACGUCCAAAAGUACAUUUUUACACUCUUGACCUCGGAUCAUGUAGGGAUACCCGCUGAACUUAAGCAUAUCAAUAAGCGGAGGA